AACGAACGCUGGCGGCAUGCCUAACACAUGCAAGUCGAACGAGACCUUCGGGCCUAGUGGCGCACGGGUGCGUAACGCGUGGGAACCUGCCCUUAGGUUCGGAAUAACUCCCCGAAAGGGGUGCUAAUACCGGAUAAUGUCUUCGGACCAAAGAUUUAUCGCCUUUGGAUGGGCCCGCGUUGGAUUAGCUAGUUGGUAGGGUAAAAGCCUACCAAGGCGACGAUCCAUAGCUGGUCUGAGAGGAUGAUCAGCCACACCGGGACUGAGACACGGCCCAGACUCCUACGGGAGGCAGCAGUGGGGAAUAUUGGACAAUGGGCGAAAGCCUGAUCCAGCAAUGCCGCGUGAGUGAUGAAGGCCUUAGGGUUGUAAAGCUCUUUUACCCGGGAUGAUAAUGACAGUACCGGGAGAAUAAGCUCCGGCUAACUCCGUG
RNAcentral lists this ribosomal RNA (433 nucleotides) under uncultured bacterium. RNAcentral's name for it is "partial 16S ribosomal RNA". It matches the Rfam family "Bacterial small subunit ribosomal RNA", at positions 29 to 507 of the family's 1533-position model. The record is from RNAcentral.